RNAcentral lists this transfer RNA (67 nucleotides) under Bagarius yarrelli (goonch). RNAcentral's name for it is "tRNA-Cys". It matches the Rfam family "tRNA". From Rfam's summary of the family: Transfer RNA (tRNA) molecules are approximately 80 nucleotides in length. Their secondary structure includes four short double-helical elements and three loops (D, anti-codon, and T loops). Lineage: Eukaryota; Metazoa; Chordata; Actinopteri; Siluriformes; Sisoridae. The record is from RNAcentral.
AGCCCCGUGGUGUAUAACAUUUCGGAUUGCAAACCCGAGGAAGCGGGUUAAUGGCCCGCCGGGGCUU